Molecule: ribosomal RNA, 374 nt
Filed under: uncultured eukaryote
Lineage: Eukaryota
Description: partial 18S ribosomal RNA
Rfam family: Eukaryotic small subunit ribosomal RNA
Source: RNAcentral
CAAGAGCGUAUGUAAAAGUUGUUGCAGUUAAAAAGCUCGUAGUUGAACCUUGGGUUUGGUUGGCCGGUCCGCUUUUUUGCGAGUACUGGAUUCAACCGAGCCUUUCCUUCUGGCUAACCAGUCGUUUCGGCGGCUGGCGAACCAGGAUUUUUACUUUGAGAAAAUUAGAGUGUUCAAAGCAGGCAUUAGCUUGAAUAUAUUAGCAUGGAAUAAUAGAAUAGGACGUUAUGGUUCUAUUUUGUUGGUUUCUAGGACCAUCGUAAUGAUUAAUAGGGACGGUCGGGUGCAUCAGUAUUCAGUUGUCAGAGGUGAAAUUCUUGGAUUUACUGAAGACUAACUACUGCGAAAGCAUUUGCCAAGGACGUUUUCAUUAA